GCCAGUGUCAGACACAGGACAGAGAUCAAACAGGGAUCAAGAGAGACAGGACUCGGGUUUGGCAACUCAUGGGUGACCUUAAAGCCAUCAGUGGAGUGGAAACAAGUGGCUGGCUUUGCAGAGGCUCAGAGUGUGGCUUGGCAACAUUUCCUGGAGAAGUGAGACCGUGGAGCUGGAGCCUUGGGAACAGAGUCGGGGCUGGGCUGAGGCAGAGGGCGGGGACCCCGGGCCCGGGGCGGCCUUGGGGUUGCAGAGGAAAGAGAUGCCAAUUACUGGAGCCAGUGUGGGGCCGGUGGAUGAACCCAGACGCUCCUCCUCCGCCGUGAGAGACAAGGGGAAGCAGGAUAUGGCUACCAGUUUGAAGACAAAAGAAAAGAAGCUGGUCUCGAUUUUGUGCCGAGGGGGCAGUAAGAACCUGCGUGAUUCAAGUAACCCCCCUGGAGCACCACUGGCCCCAUUGCCCAGGUGCUGGAAAUGCCCAGCUCCUGCAGGAGGUCCCCAACGAGCAUCGGCAGGACGGUCAGAAAGGAGCAGCUCAGCCGAUACGGGCAGUACCCCCCACGCCACAGCACCCCAAAAGGGCUAUUUUUAGAUCUCCUCCGCCCCCUGCAACCCUCUCACUCUGGGAAUGUCAUACCGCAUCAUAAUAAACACAUCAGAAUGCAUCCACAUGCCACUUCAAAUAUCAUUUACAUAUAACUUCAUAGGAGCGGAGGAGUUGGAUUUAACAAGUUGACAUGAUGUUAACAUUUUGCACAUAUUCAA
Long non-coding RNA from Canis lupus familiaris (dog), 765 nucleotides. RefSeq lists it as uncharacterized. The transcript has 3 exons. The record is from RefSeq and is a predicted model, not a curated record. Lineage: Eukaryota; Metazoa; Chordata; Mammalia; Carnivora; Canidae.